AUGUUGUUUGGAAAGCGCCUCCAGAGGCUUUUUGCAAAGUUAACUGUUGAUGGUGCGGUGUCUAGGAAUGGUGGCAAGGGAGCUGUGGGAGUCAUGUGCCGCAACGAUCAAGGCAAGUUCAUGGGCUUGUCAUCGAUACCAUUCAAGAACAUCACAAAUCCUACGGUUAUGGAUGUCCUGGCAUGUCAAGAAGUUUUGGCAUUGGCUGAUGAUUUGAUGUUGCACGAGCUAUUCAUUGCAUUAGACAGUUUGGAAGUAAUCAAAGACAUCUAA
Molecule: ribosomal RNA, 273 nt
Filed under: Triticum aestivum (bread wheat)
Lineage: Eukaryota; Viridiplantae; Streptophyta; Magnoliopsida; Poales; Poaceae
Description: partial small subunit ribosomal RNA
Source: RNAcentral